CUUAAAGCAUUGAGUGCCCGCCGGGAAACCGACGGAGUAGAACUGCUCAAAGUCGGGGAAACCUUGAACGGCAAUCCCGAGCCAAGCCUGAAAGCAUUUUCAGGAAGGUGUAGAGACUAGACGGGCAGCACCUGAGCCUCAAUUGGAGGCAUGGUGAAGGGAUAGUCCAGACCACGAACUCGCCG
RNAcentral lists this non-coding RNA (185 nucleotides) under Acidobacterium capsulatum ATCC 51196. Lineage: Bacteria; Pseudomonadati; Acidobacteriota; Terriglobia; Terriglobales; Acidobacteriaceae. The record is from RNAcentral.